Molecule: long non-coding RNA, 1842 nt
Filed under: Homo sapiens (human)
Lineage: Eukaryota; Metazoa; Chordata; Mammalia; Primates; Hominidae
Description: non-protein coding LINC01545:5
Source: RNAcentral
CUCUCCUCCCACCCACCGCCGGCCGCGCUCGCCCUACCGGAGCGGCUCCCAGCCGUCUGCCCGCCGCGCGUUCUUCUGGCGGGCUGGGCGCCGUCGCCACCCGCCGCCUCGACGCCCCGCCCACUCGCCGCUCCCGCACCCGCGGCGCCGCGUUCCAGUGUAUAGGAUGUACAGGAUGAAAAGAUCCCAAGUGAGGACCCCAAUCAGGAGGCUGAUAAGGAAUGUUAAUCUGGAUUGGGAAGAUUCCAUGGCACUAGGCUGUACCACAGUCAUAGAAAGAGGAACUUUAAGAAGACUAAAGAGAGCAACACUGAACACUUUCCUGGACAGUCCUGUACAUGUUUUAUUGGUGAUGCCCAAGCUUAUCCCUGAACACUGGGAAAAGUGGGAAGAUGUCAAGAGAUAAAAGACAGAGGAUGACAGAUCUGAGAGGGACCGAGUGACUAACUUUCCUCUGCAAGCUCAAAGCAAGAAGUUGACUGCUUUUUCAUUUGAACUCUGCCCCAGCAUCAACAAAUCACCACUCUGGGUUUAUGCAACUUGUUUCCUAAUUGAAUAAAAUAAGCCUGAAUAUGAAAACAUAUCAGAAGAAAAUUUAAGUCAGAAAAAAUUUAAGUUAGAAACUGCUGUGCUCUUAUCUGUUUCCAAUGAAUACCAAUGAUGUUCUUAAAGCUUCCUAGGAGCCUCAAUGGGCAGAAACCAUAGUUACUAUUUCAGUACAAAACAGAAAAAAUAGAGAUUGUAGAAGGAUUGUUACUCGAAAGCCAAUCAAGGAGAGUACCUGAAAGGAGGAAUUACAGAAGAGACUAAAGUCUGAUAGAGUAGAAUGAAACACUGGAUUGUGAAUAUUCAAUUAAAAAAUAUUAAACAUAGAUCACUUUACUGGACUCUAAGCUACUCUCUAGGAAUAGAACAAUUUCUAAGCCUUGAUUCUAGAGCCAAUAGUCUAGGCCAAGGCUUCUUAAACUUUAAUGUGCAUAUGAAUCCCCUGAAAAUCUUGGCUCAUGCCUGUAAUCCCAGAACUUUGGGAGGCUGAGGUGGGCAGAUCACUGGAGGGCAAGAGUUCGAGACCAGCCUGACCAACAUAGCGAAACUCCAUCUCUACUAAAAAUACAAAAAAAAAAAAAUUAGCUGUGCAUGGUGGCACACAACUGUAAUCCCAGCUACUCCGGAGGCUGAGGCACAAGAAUUGCUUGAACCCAGGAGGUGGAGGUUGCAGUGAGCUGAGAUCGUACCACUGCACUCCAGCCUGGGUAACAGAGCAUCUCAAAAAAAAAAAAAAAAAAAAAAGUCGAGGCUUAUUCAAGAGAUCUGGAGUAGAGCCUUAAAUUCUAACAAAUUCCUAGGUGAUACUGAUGCUGCUGGCCCAUGGACUACACUUUGAGUAGCAAGAAACGCAUGGAUAAAGAAAUAGAGUGAAGUGUUGCAGGUACUUGGAAAUCUAUAAAGAGUACUAUGUGAGCACCAUGGAGGGCCUUUCUACCUCAGAGUAUUAGAAAAGGCUUCAUACAGGAAGGGAUGGAUGGGCUGAGUCUUCUCCUGGUAAUCAUGGGGAUAAAGUCAAGAGGUCAACAUUAAAGUUCAGUGACUAUGGUGUGAGUUGGACAGGCCGUCUAAACUUUCUGGCCCUCAAUUUUCUUUCUUUUUUUCUUUUUUGAAAUGGAGUCUCAUUCUAUCACCCAGGCUGGAGUGCAGUGGUGCUAUCAUCUCAGCUCAGUGCAACCUCCGCCAAUCAAGCCAUUCUCCUAGCUCAGCCUCCCAAGUAGCUGGGAUUAUAGGGGCGUGUGACCACACCCAGCUAAGUUUUGUAUUUUUAGUAGAGAUGGGGUUUUACCACGUUGG